CCCACAGAAACCCUUGUAUGGUAUACUGCUUUAAUAUACUUGACCAGGGGGAUGACAAAUUCUGAAGGACUAGCCCUGAAAUCAAAAAACAUAAAUAAACAAUGUGUACAUUAUAAUAUUAAAAUACUUUCAAAGUUGCACUAGAAGAUAUUUCACCUGGGGUUAUAAAAUAUUGUAAAACGGCUAUUAGUGGCUGCUGCAUGAGCUGCAGCAGCAAGAAGACCUAUAUGCAUGCUAUCACUUGAUAAAACUGACGAAGGCAUGAAAGUUUGAGGACGAUUCGCUCGCCGAAUACCCAAGAGUAAUUGGUUCUUCUCAUUCCAAAUGAAAAGGACAGAAUCACCAGCAACAAGCCUCUUUGCACUAACAAAGACACUCCAUCCUGUUGUAAGAAGAUGCCUCUUGGGUUGUCCUGAAAUUCAGUGAGAAAAGUCAUUAUAAGCAGGAAUUUGACUCUCGGAACAUGCUGGCAGUUUCUUCUCAUCACUUUGGCAAGAAUAUCCAGUACCGUCAUAUUACUUUUUACCAAUGUUAUCACCAUUGUCACGUAAGCUGGUACUAAAUGCAAGCAUGCUACUUUAUUUUGCUGCCAGAGUUCAAGUUCUUAUUCAAUUUCCAAUUCCACCAGAAAAAGGAACAAUAUUGACCAAAAAAAUUCUAAGAGAAACUCAACCUCCACCCCAUCUCAGGAUCAUUUCAAUUUAUGUAUUUUUCUUCAAUUUCAUUAGUGAGACUUUUCAAUCUUCAUAUUCAAUGAUUAUAAAACAAUAAACUUUAGAAUUUUCACCCACACUUUUCC
Molecule: long non-coding RNA, 799 nt
Filed under: Populus tomentosa
Lineage: Eukaryota; Viridiplantae; Streptophyta; Magnoliopsida; Malpighiales; Salicaceae
Description: ARFRL
Source: RNAcentral